Molecule: non-coding RNA, 596 nt
Organism: Chlorocebus sabaeus (green monkey)
Lineage: Eukaryota; Metazoa; Chordata; Mammalia; Primates; Cercopithecidae
Source: RefSeq, a predicted model, not a curated record
GCCUCCGGCAUGUUUGUAUAUUCCCCCAACACUCAGCCAGCUCUGCUCUAGAAUCAGCCUUAAUUAGUCAUUUACCUAGCAUAACUCAGCAAAUCUGGGUUUGAAGUAGAAUUAUCCCAUGUAGAAUUUAAUUUCCCUGUUUCCCAUUUCGCCUCAGUGAGGUGAAAUGGACUAUUCAGCAUGGAGAAGGCUUAGGUCUCAUUUUUCUUCAGCCUGCCUGUUUUGGAUUUCUGAAUUUAAAAAUGCUUAGAAAUGAAGUGGAUGGAAUUAAGGGGAGAGUUCCCUACAUAGCUUAGGGAUCUGUGAUGUAUCAACUGCAUCUUGACAGAAUUUAUUCUGAGAAAGAAUCAAAGAGUCUUAGGAAAGAAGUGAGCUUCUGUAUCAGAGAUUGGUGGGAGGAUGUUCUAUCUUGGGAGAGUCAAGCUGAAGACGGAGUCUCACUCUGUCACCCAGGUUGGCGUGCAGUGGUACCACCUCCACUCAUUGCAAGCUCCCCCUCCCAGGUUCACGCCAUUCUCCUGCCUCAGCCUCCCGUGUAGCUGGCACUACAGGUGCCCGCCACAAGACCCAGCUCCUUUUUUGUAUUUUUAGUAGAG